AGUCGAACGGGUUAAGACCCGUGGCGAAUAGCUCAGUAACACGUAGAUAAACUACCCUAUGGACUGUGAUAACCUCGGAAAACUGAGGGUAAUAACAGAUAGUACUCCUACGCUGGAAUGCAGUGAGUACGAAAUGCUCCGGUGCCAUAGGAUGUGACUGCGGCCGAUUAGGUAGACGGUGGGGUAACGGCCCACCGUGCCGAUAAUCGGUACGGGUGGUGAGAGCCAGAGCCCGGAGAUGGAAUCUGAGACAAGAUUCCAGGCCCUAUGGGGCGCAGCAGGCGCGAAAACUUUACAAUGCGCGAAAGCGCGAUAAGGGGACCCCGAGUGCGGGGGCAUAACGUCCUCGCUUUUGUAUAUCGUAAGAAGAUACACGAAUAAGGGCUGGGCAAGACCGGUGCCAGCCGCCGCGGUAAUACCGGCAGCUCGAGUGAUGAUCACUAUUAUUGGGCCUAAAGCGUCCGUAGCCGGUCGAACAAGUCCUUCGGUAAAUCCACUCGCUCAACGAGUGGGCUCUCGAAGGGAAACUGUUCGACUUGGGGCCGGGAGAUCUGAGGGGUACGUCUAGGGUAGGAGUGAAAUCCUGUAAUCCUAGACGGACCGCCGGUGGCGAAAGCGCCUCAGAAGAACGGACCCGACGGUCAGGGACGAAAGCUAGGGUCUCGAACCGGAUUAGAUACCCGGGUAGUCCUAGCCGUUAAACGAUGCUCGCUAGGUGU
This 719-nucleotide ribosomal RNA is filed under the name uncultured marine euryarchaeote DH148-Y15. RNAcentral describes it as "bacterial SSU rRNA". It matches the Rfam family "Archaeal small subunit ribosomal RNA", at positions 56 to 774 of the family's 1478-position model. The record is from RNAcentral. Lineage: Archaea; Methanobacteriati; Methanobacteriota; Candidatus Hikarchaeia.